RNAcentral lists this ribosomal RNA (274 nucleotides) under uncultured bacterium. RNAcentral's name for it is "partial 16S ribosomal RNA". It matches the Rfam family "Bacterial small subunit ribosomal RNA", at positions 523 to 796 of the family's 1533-position model. The record is from RNAcentral.
AUACGGAGGGUGCAAGCGUUACUCGGAAUCACUGGGCGUAAAGGAUGCGUAGGCGGAUAAUCAAGUCAAAAGUGAAAUCCUACAGCUUAACUGUAGAACUGCUUUCGAAGCUGGUUAUCUAGAAUAUGGAAGAGGCAGAUGGAAUUAGUGGUGUAGGGGUAAAAUCCGUAGAGAUCACUAGGAAUACCGAUUGCGAAGGCGAUCUGCUGGGACAUUAUUGACGCUGAGGCAUGAAAGCGUGGGGAGCAAACAGGAUUAGAAACCCUAGUAGUCC